This 331-nucleotide long non-coding RNA is filed under the name Ananas comosus (pineapple). Its description in RNAcentral is "long non-coding RNA (ACOM_LNC027596)". Lineage: Eukaryota; Viridiplantae; Streptophyta; Magnoliopsida; Poales; Bromeliaceae. The record is from RNAcentral.
AUAAUUAUUACAUUUAUUAUUGUCAUUUCAACAGUAUAUUAUUAUAAGCUUUUGGCCGUUGGAUGAAAAGAUGUGAGGUUAGGAUGAUAGUGGUCUUCGGUAAGGAUGGUAUUGGUCUCUUAGGGUUGAGUGGUUAGUUGAUUGAAUAGUAUGAUCUAACGGGUAGAAAUGAUCAAAGAGGUAGAUCCAACGGCCGAAAAUUUAUAAGUACAAAGAGGUUUAUACUUAUAAGAGUAUAAUAGUCUGACUCACUUUUUUGAAUUGAUUUUCUUUAUUUUUGUUUCAAUUUCAACGUCAUAAUAAUUUAGGUUGCUGUUGUUCAUAGUAUGUU